AAACUGAAAAAAAAUUGUUUUAAGAGCACUGCAGUUAUGGAAAUGUGUCGCCUAAAAUACUCUGCAACGGUUUGUGGGGAUGUCUAGAGCUGCGUUAUGAAAGAAGGGCUCUGGGCCAGAGUGUUCCAGGGUAAGAAGAAGCCAAACCCGAGCCCCGGGAGCGUGCUGAUCCUGGGGAUGUCACAACCCCAGCCAAGCGCCCGGGAGCAGGGGGCCCUGGCGCUGGCCUUCCGGCCCCAUACUGGGCAGGGAAAGCUGCGGGCUCCCUCCCGGUGUCCCCGACUCCUUGGCGUCCCACCUGGGGCCCCAGCACCCUCUCUGAAGAGCUGGAUUCUUAAAGCAAACCCAAGGGGCAAGUACCACCAUCCUCCUGCUCCUGGUCACGAGCAUCACCAGCAUCACCGUCAUCCUCAUCACCAGUGUCACCAUCACCACCAUCAGCAUCAACUCACCAGCAUCACCACGUUAGUAGCAGCAUCGGCAUCAUCAGCAUCAUCACCGUCACCACCAUCACCAUCAUCACCACCACCAUCACUAUCACUGCCUUUACCAUCACAUCAUCACUAGUCUCACCAUCAUCACCAUCACUAGCAUCACCAUCAUCACCAUCACCACCACCAUCACCAUCAUCACCAUCACCACCACCAUCACCAUCAUCACCAUCACCGUCAUCAUCAUCACCAUCACCACCACCAUCACCAUCAUCACCAUCACCGCCUUCACCGUCACCAUCGCCAUCAUCACCAUCACCAUCACUAUCACUGCCUUCACCAUCACAUCAUCACUAGUCUCACCAUCAUCAUCAUCACUAGCAUCACCAUCACCAUCACCACCACCAUCACCAUCAUCACCAUCACCGCCUUCACCGUCAUCACCACCACCACCAUCAUCACCACCAUCACCGUCAUCAUCACCACCACCAUCACCAUCAUCACCAUCACCGUCAUCAUCAUCACCAUCAUCAUCACCAUCAUCACCAUCAUCACCAUCACCGCCUUCACCGUCACCAUCGCCAGCUUCACCAGCGUCAGCAUCGCCACCAUCUUCUUCACUGUCAUCACCAUCAUCAGCAUCAACCUUCCCUUCUUACAGACGAGGGAACAAGUGCUCAGAGAGAAUAAGUAAGUUGCCCAAGGCUAGUAUGGUAAGCAGACUAAUGCCCCCCAAGGUGUCCACACCCUGAUGCCUGAAACCUGUGAGCAUGUGACCUGACAUGGUAAAAAAGACUUUGCAGAUGUGAUUGAGGACCUUGAGAUGGGCAAUCACCCUGGACCAUGCAGGUGGGUCCAGAGUCAUCACAAGUAUCCUUACAAGAGGGAGGCAGGCAAGUCAGGGUCAGAGAGAGCCCGGGAGGUGCCAUGACUGGCUCUGAAGAUGGAGAAAGGCGCCCUGGGCUGAGAAACGCAGGCGGCUUCUAGAGACCGGGAAAGGCAAGGCAAGGGAUCUCCCCUUAGCCUCUGGAAGGAGCCACCUUGAUCUUAGCUAGGGACACCAGGUCAGACUUCUGACCUUCAGAAAUUUGCAUGGUUUUAAGCUGCUUAAUUUGUGGCCAUGUGUAAUGGUGUGUUAAGGAAUGAUUUUAAAAUCUGGAUCUCCUGCUACGUUUCCUUGUGCCCCUUUUGGAACAGCUCAAUGUGCUGUUCGUGACACCAGCAGCCACUCCUCGAGGUCGGCCUGGCACUGUGCUGUGGUUUAAGCCAAGUCCAGCACCACAGGGCCGACCCCAGCCCAUGGUAGCCCAUGGCCGGUGGAGGGGCUCGCCACAAGGACCAGCCACGGCAGACGGGGGACUUCAGAUGCCGCCCUCCUCGCCCUUUUAUUCCGAGUCUCAUGUUUUGGUAAAAAUGACACAAGCCUAUUAGAAAGAUUCAAGCCAUCCAGAAAAGUGCAAAGAAGCAAGUGAAAGCCCCCAAGUCCACCUGUCAGCUAGACCAUCUGGUGACAUCCGUCCCUGUGUACCCCGGUGGAGGACGGAUGGAGGGAGAGGUGGACGAGCAUCCUUCUAAAUGCUUUGCCUGCAGAUACCAGUUUUGUGGUUUUUGGACUUGUUACCUUUCUGUUUUAAGAGAAAUGUUUGAUGCUUUAGUUUUAUCUAAGGUACCUGUUAUUGGGGGAAUUUAUUUUCAUAUGCAAGUCUGGAACUGGAUUUAAGAAUGCGUAAAUAUAAACGCAAAAUGCACCACAAAGAUAUUCUGAGGGCAUUUAGCUGCCUUCGUUUUGGAGCCUGGUCUUCCCUUUUUAAAUAUAUAUCUUACAUAUAAGGAAAUCAAACAUUUAUCUUCUAGUAGUCUAUUUUAUAGGCUCUCCCUUCCUCCCCCCUCCCUCCUCCUCUCCCCCCCACUUUCCCUCCCUCCCUCUCUCUUUCUCUCUCUCUGAUGGAAAGAACCAGGGACAGCUGGGGAACAUGCAGUGUUUGCAAGUUGAUUAUUCUGCACUGUAUAGUUGACUGCUAAGUGCAAAAAUUAUUUCACAAGCUCUGCUUAGUGGAGAAAAGGUGACCAGCAGUCUAAUCAUUUUCCCUCA
This is a long non-coding RNA of Dasypus novemcinctus (nine-banded armadillo), 2523 nucleotides long. The record is from Ensembl. NCBI's taxonomy places the organism in Eukaryota, Metazoa, Chordata, Mammalia, Cingulata, Dasypodidae.